GACGAACGCUGGCGGCGUGCUUAACACAUGCCAGUCGAACGGAAAGGACCUGCUUUUGUGGGGUGCUCGAGUGGCGAACGGGUGAGUAACACGUGAGUAACCUGCCCUUGACUUUGGGAUAACUUCAGGAAACUGGGGCUAAUACCGGAUAGGAGCUCCUGCUGCAUGGUGGGGGUUGGAAAGUUUCGGCGGUUGGGGAUGGACUCGCGGCUUAUCAGCUUGUUGGUGGGGUAGUGGCUUACCAAGGCUUUGACGGGUAGCCGGCCUGAGAGGGUGACCGGCCACAUUGGGACUGAGAUACGGCCCAGACUCCUACGGGAGGCAGCAGUGGGGAAUAUUGCACAAUGGGCGGAAGCCUGAUGCAGCAACGCCGCGUGCGGGAUGACGGCCUUCGGGUUGUAAACCGCUUUCGCCUGUGACGAAGCGUGAGUGACGGUAAUGGGUAAAGAAGCACCGGCUAACUACGUG
Molecule: ribosomal RNA, 468 nt
Filed under: uncultured bacterium
Lineage: Bacteria
Description: partial 16S ribosomal RNA
Rfam family: Bacterial small subunit ribosomal RNA
Source: RNAcentral